AAAUCAAUUGAGCCUACAAUUAUUCCAAAAAAUCAUGUUACUCAAGAUCUUUACUAUUAUUUAGCUGAUUAUUACUUGAAAAACAAAGAGGUUCGAGAAGCCAUCAAAUUUUAUAUUCUUGAUCUAACUUUAAAUUGCAAUCGAUUUGAUUCAUGGGCUGGUUGUACUCUCGCAAUGAAAAAUCUAAUCUACCAUUGCUAUUCUUUGCCAAGUUGUCAAGUUUUCUACUCAGCUAUUGAUGAAGUGUUGCUUUUGGGAGAGAAAGCAAGUCGAUGUUACAAUGAAGCACUUCGACUUAAAGAAGGUGAAUCUAAAUUAAUGAUUAAAUAUGGAAAGUGUGCUUAUAACAUCGCGAGUUAUAUUUCUCGAGUCAUAA
Panonychus citri (citrus red mite) is the source of this 376-nucleotide long non-coding RNA. RefSeq lists it as uncharacterized. The transcript is spliced from 3 exons. The record is from RefSeq and is a predicted model, not a curated record. NCBI's taxonomy places the organism in Eukaryota, Metazoa, Arthropoda, Arachnida, Trombidiformes, Tetranychidae.